GAUGAACGCUGGCGGCGUGCUUAACACAUGCAAGUCGAACGGAAAGGCCACAGCUUGCUGUGGUACUCGAGUGGCGAACGGGUGAGUAACACGUGGGUGAUCUGCCCUGUACUUCGGGAUAAGCUUGGGAAACUGGGUCUAAUACCGGAUAGGAAUCACAUGUGGGUGUGUGGUUGGAAAGCUUUUGCGGUAUGGGAUGAGCUCGCGGCCUAUCAGCUUGUUGGUGGGGUAUUGGCGUACCAAGGCGUCGACGGGUAGCCGGCCUGAGAGGGUGUACGGCCACAUUGGGACUGAGAUACGGCCCAGACUCCUACGGGAGGCAGCAGUGGGGAAUAUUGCACAAUGGGCGCAAGCCUGAUGCAGCGACGCCGCGUGGGGGAUGACGGCCUUCGGGUUGUAAACUCCUUUCGUCAGGGACGAAGCGAAAGUGACGGUAACUGGAUAAGAAGCACCGGCUAACUACGUG
This 466-nucleotide ribosomal RNA is filed under the name uncultured bacterium. Its description in RNAcentral is "partial 16S ribosomal RNA". It matches the Rfam family "Bacterial small subunit ribosomal RNA", at positions 28 to 507 of the family's 1533-position model. The record is from RNAcentral.